CCUACGGGUGGCUGCAGUGGGGAAUAUUGGACAAUGGGCGAAAGCCUGAUCCAGCCAUGCCGCGUGUGUGAAGAAGGCCUUCGGGUUGUAAAGCACUUUCAGUGGGGAAGAAAGCCUUGGGGCUAAUACCCUCGAGGAAGGACAUCACCCACAGAAGAAGCACCGGCUAACUCCGUGCCAGCAGCCGCGGUAAUACGGAGGGUGCGAGCGUUAAUCGGAAUUACUGGGCGUAAAGCGCGCGUAGGCGGUCUGAUAAGCCGGUUGUGAAAGCCCCGGGCUCAACCUGGGAACGGCAUCCGGAACUGUCAGGCUAGAGUGCAGUAGAGGAAGGUAGAAUUCCCGGUGUAGCGGUGAAAUGCGUAGAGAUCGGGAGGAAUACCAGUGGCGAAGGCGGCCUUCUGGACUGACACUGACGCUGAGGUGCGAAAGCGUGGGUAGCAAACAGGAUUAGAUACCCUAGUAGUC
RNAcentral lists this ribosomal RNA (465 nucleotides) under Vreelandella stevensii. RNAcentral's name for it is "partial 16S ribosomal RNA". It matches the Rfam family "Bacterial small subunit ribosomal RNA", at positions 338 to 795 of the family's 1533-position model. Lineage: Bacteria; Pseudomonadati; Pseudomonadota; Gammaproteobacteria; Oceanospirillales; Halomonadaceae. The record is from RNAcentral.